GAAUUUUGCACAAUGGGCGCAAGCCUGAUGCAGCGACGCCGCGUGGGGGAUGACGGCCUUCGGGUUGUAAACCCCUUUCAGGAGGGACGAAGCGAAAGUGACGGUACCUUCAGAAGAAGCCCCGGCCAACUACGUGCCAGCACCCGCGGUAAUACGUAGGGGGCGAACGUUGUCCGGAGUUAUUGGGCGUAAAGAGCUCGUAGGCGGCUCAGCAAGUCGGCCGUGAAAACCCGGGGCUCGACCCCGGGACGCCGGUCGAAACUGCUGUGGCUAGGGUCCGGUAGAGGAGAGUGGAAUUCCCGGUGUAGCGGUGAAAUGCGCAGAUAUCGGGAGGAACACCAGUAGCGAAGGCGGCUCUCUGGGCCGGUACCGACGCUGAGGAGCGAAAGCUAGGGGAGCAAACAGG
RNAcentral lists this ribosomal RNA (406 nucleotides) under uncultured bacterium. RNAcentral describes it as "bacterial SSU rRNA". It matches the Rfam family "Bacterial small subunit ribosomal RNA", at positions 359 to 776 of the family's 1533-position model. The record is from RNAcentral.